This 478-nucleotide ribosomal RNA is filed under the name uncultured bacterium. RNAcentral describes it as "partial 16S ribosomal RNA". It matches the Rfam family "Bacterial small subunit ribosomal RNA", at positions 28 to 523 of the family's 1533-position model. The record is from RNAcentral.
GACGAACGCUGGUGGCGUGCUUAACACAUGCAAGUCGAGAGAGGAUGUUCCUUCGGGAACGGAUUAGCGGCGGACGGGUGAGUAACACGUGGGUAACCUGCCUCGUAGAGGGGAAUAGCCUCUCGAAAGGAAGAUUAAUGCCCCAUAAGAUUGUAGUACCGCAUGGUAUAGCAAUUAAAGGAGUAAUCCGCUAUGAGGUGGAACCGCGUCGCAUUGGCUAGUGGGUGAGGUAACGGCUCACCAAGGUGACGAUGCGGAGCCGACCUGAGAGGGGAAACGGCCAAGUGUGGACUUAGACGCUGCUCAGACUCCAACGGGUGACAUAAGUGGGGAAAAUUGAACAAUGAGGGCAACCCUGAUGCAGCAACGCCGUGAGAGUGAUGACGGACUUCGGAUUGGAAAACUCUGUCCUCAUGGACGAUAAUGACGGAACCUGAGGAGGAGGCCACGGCUAACUACGUGCCAGCCGCCGCCGUAA